AGCAACCGCGGUAAUUCCAGCUCCAAUAGCGUAUAUUUAAGUUGUUGCAGUUAAAAAGCCGUAGUUGCCAAGGAUGUUUUCAUUAAUCAAGAACGAAAGUUGGGAGCUCGAAGACGAUAGAUACCGUCCUAGUCUCAACCAUAAACGAUGCCGACCAGGGAUCGGCGGAUGUUGCUUUAGGACUCCGCCGGCACCCUAUGGGAAACCAAAGCU
RNAcentral lists this ribosomal RNA (213 nucleotides) under uncultured Glomeromycotina. RNAcentral's name for it is "partial small subunit ribosomal RNA". It matches the Rfam family "Eukaryotic small subunit ribosomal RNA", at positions 569 to 1105 of the family's 1831-position model. Lineage: Eukaryota; Fungi; Glomeromycota. The record is from RNAcentral.